RNAcentral lists this ribosomal RNA (468 nucleotides) under uncultured bacterium. RNAcentral describes it as "partial 16S ribosomal RNA". It matches the Rfam family "Bacterial small subunit ribosomal RNA", at positions 28 to 507 of the family's 1533-position model. The record is from RNAcentral.
GACGAACGCUGGCGGCGUGCUUAACACAUGCAAGUCGAACGGAAAGGCCCUGCUUUUGUGGGGUGCUCGAGUGGCGAACGUGUGAGUAACACGUGAGUAACCUGCCCUUUACUUUGGGAUAACUUCAGGAAACUGGGUCUAAUACCGGAUAUGAGCUCCUGCUGCAUGGUGGGGGUUGGAAAGUUUCGGCGGUUGGGGAUGGACUCGCGGCUUAUCAGCUUGUUGGUGGGGUAGUGGCUUACCAAGGCUUUGAAGGGUAGCCGGCCUGAGAGGGUGACCGGACAAAGUGGGACUGAGAUACGGCACAGACUCGUACGGGAGGCAGCAGUGGGGAAUAUUGCACAAUGGGAGGAAGCCUGAUGAAGAAACGCCGCGUGCGGGAUGACGGCCUUCGGGUUGUAAACAGCUUUCGAAUGUGAAGAAGAGUGAGUGACGGUAAUGGGUAAAGAAGCACCGGCUAACUACGUG